This 78-nucleotide ribosomal RNA is filed under the name Enterobacter cloacae. RNAcentral's name for it is "partial 23S ribosomal RNA". Lineage: Bacteria; Pseudomonadati; Pseudomonadota; Gammaproteobacteria; Enterobacterales; Enterobacteriaceae. RNAcentral also lists the same sequence under 7 other names. The record is from RNAcentral.
CCGGGUGUGUAAGCGCAGCGAUGCGUUGAGCUAACCGGUACUAAUGAACCGUGAGGCUUAACCUUACAACGCCGAAGC